CAGCUGUCUGUCUUCAUUUUCAGUCUCCCGGACUGGUCCUCUGAGGAUGGCUCUGUUCCACUGCCUGAGCUCCACGCUGCCAGCCAUAUUCUGGGUCAUGUGACAUCUCUGCAUCGCCACUGGCGUGGAAGGACUGGGUAACCAGCCAGCUGGAGAUGGUUAAUAAGGAGGCACUGGAGUGACGGAAAGUUCCCUGGAAAUCACCUGCUUCCUGUGUCACCUCCCAGAUGGAGAAGGAUAUUCAUCAAACCUAAUUUUGGAUAAAAGUGACUGGGUCUGAACCUCUUCACCAGCCUCAGUGAAUACUUCCGGGGUGGCGUGACUGAAGGUUGCUUGGAACCUCCGUCACGAAGUUCGUCAUAGAAAGAAAUGAAACCAAUAAUCAAGAAAGCUGCUGCUGAGGAAAAAGAUGCAGGACUCAGCAUAGAACCACACAGCUCUUCACAGCUUUACACAAGGCUCUGCCUCACACCCCACAGAAAGCCACUGUCCCUGCUGGAUAACCCUACCUGGGGACAACUCUCCCAGGGAGCUCAGAUUCACUGCCCAGGAGCCUGUUGGGAAGGACGGUGGGCAGGCAUGAUGCUCAGCCAGGAGGGAGCCUGUUGUACAGCCAAAACACAGCCUUUGAGACGCUGACAUCAUGAGAAGAGUGAGGAUUCAUGUCUGGAUCAUCAAAAAUGAUCACUCAUUGAAAAGCAAGUCUGGAAUCAACCGAGGGCUCUUAAUAGCUUCUCGUAGGU
Long non-coding RNA from Bubalus bubalis (water buffalo), 743 nucleotides. RefSeq lists it as uncharacterized. The record is from RefSeq and is a predicted model, not a curated record. NCBI's taxonomy places the organism in Eukaryota, Metazoa, Chordata, Mammalia, Artiodactyla, Bovidae. The transcript has 5 exons.